UGGCUUAAUUUGACUCAACGCGGGAAAUCUUACCGGGUCCGGACACACUGAGGAUUGACAGACAAAUAUAGAAAUUUUAUAUUUCUCAUAUAUAAAGAUGCUAGUUCUUUCAUGAUUAUGUGAUAGGUGGUGCAUGGCCGUUCUUAGUUCGUGGAGUGAUCUGUCUGCUUAAUUGCGUUUCAAUUUUUAUUAUGUAUACGUAUGACCCACGUUUACGCGUGCGAGUCUAGUAUGCUAUCAUUUGAAAGCAACGAACGUGACCGUAUCCUUUUAUUAUAUACGCACGCGUAUAUUUAUUCAUUAAAGGGACCGCUGUUUCUUUUUUUAAACCAGAGGAAGGUUACGGCAAUAACAGGUCUGUGAUGC
This 366-nucleotide ribosomal RNA is filed under the name Elphidium williamsoni. Its description in RNAcentral is "SSU rRNA". It matches the Rfam family "Eukaryotic small subunit ribosomal RNA", at positions 1187 to 1470 of the family's 1831-position model. The record is from RNAcentral. Lineage: Eukaryota; Foraminifera; Rotaliida; Elphidiidae.